UGCGUAGGCGGGCUAAUAAGUCAGUGGUGAAAUCUCUCGGCUCAACCGGGAAACUGCCAUUGAUACUGUUAGUCUUGAGUUCGGUUGAGGUAGGCGGAACGUGUAAUGUAGCGGUGAAAUGCUUAGAUAUUACACAGAACACCAAUUGCGUAGGCAGCUUACUAGACCGACACUGACGCUGAGGCACGAAAGCGUGGGGAGCGAACAGGAUUAGAUACCCUGGUAGUCC
This 229-nucleotide ribosomal RNA is filed under the name uncultured bacterium. RNAcentral describes it as "partial 16S ribosomal RNA". It matches the Rfam family "Bacterial small subunit ribosomal RNA", at positions 568 to 796 of the family's 1533-position model. The record is from RNAcentral.